Molecule: long non-coding RNA, 1486 nt
Filed under: Olea europaea subsp. europaea
Lineage: Eukaryota; Viridiplantae; Streptophyta; Magnoliopsida; Lamiales; Oleaceae
Source: RNAcentral
AGUAACUGGUCUACAAAAGUCAUUAUCGUAGGAAAACAGCUUCCGAAAACUGCUUGUAGUUCUAUGACUUGAUACCAAAACCUCGUUCUAAUGGAUUUACAGGUAACUAUGUAUUAAUAAUUACAGCAAUUUUCAAGCUUUCACUGUAACUUUAUUUUAUGUUCAUGUUCUCAUCUCCUAACAUUAAACAGGGUAACAAAGUGACAGCUACAAUGUAUGAUGCAAAUAUUACAGCACUUAACGAUCAGCUCAUACUCGAAAAGACAUAUAUAAUCUCGAACGCUAUGGUGAAAGAUAACAAAAGUGUGUUUAAAAGUUCACAUGAAGAAAAUAUUUGGACUAUAACAGGGAAAACAAAGAUCGAAGAGCUCAAUGAGAAUAACUUAAACUUCCUCUUUUCAAAAUAUGAGGUCAGCCCAUUUCACGAACUUGAGAAGCACAUGGACAAGAACGUCAACAUAAGUAACAUUUCUAACUUCACAACCAGUACUUCUAUGCAUUAUUUUAUAGUUAUUUUGUUUGUGUUAAAAUUUACUACAUGCAAAAUACAUAACAAAGAAAAUUUUCCCGUCCCUCCAGAUGUUAUAGGAGUAGCUAUAGAUAUUCGACAAAACGAAUGAUCCAAACUCACUUCGGUACAAAAGCUUGUCUUCGGGACGUUAUAUUAAUAGAUAAACAUUUUGACACAGUGAUGCUAACCCUGUGGGACACGUUUGUUGAAUGGGAAUGUAUUGCCAUUGUUGAAAACCUAGCAACCAGACCUGUUAUAUAGACUACAAAUCUUAAAGUUUAUUCAUUCAAUGGUAAGUUCAAUAUAAACAUACCAUUUUAUUUACAAUGACAUUACAACAAAAAAUGUAGACACAUAUUAGUUAUGAUUCAUUUUUUUGCAGGCAUUACACUCUCGACUAAAGUCAACAGCAGUAUCUUCAUUAAUGCUGACUUAUUGGUUGUUGCAGACUAUAAAGAAUGGUUUAGAAACAUACCUAAAUAAUUUCUUAACUUCUUUCCGCUAUGUUCUACAUGUAACUAUAUAAUUCUUUCAUGAAAGGUGAUAGCAAAUAAUGAAAAACUCAACAAACUUACAGAAAACAAACCAUCUGUUACUCUCAGCCCCACAAAACUGUUACCUCCAGCUGAAAAUAAAUUCACACCAAUUGCUGAAUUACUGGAAGUCUAUCUGGGGGUAUUUUCUCAACUACUUCAUUCAAUAUUAUAUAGCAUAAAUAUAUUUUUACUACAUUCCAUAAUAAACAUUAUGAAAACACCGAACAAUUUAUACUCUUAGUAUUUUCAUAAUUUACUAAAACAUACAUUUUUUUUCACAGAACAAAUUCUAUUGGAUCAAGGCCCAUUGGAGAGUUAUUGCAACACACCAAAAAUUUUGGUACAUGUCCUGUGGUAAUUGCAAAAAGGAUCCAAUGCAUACUUCGGACAAAUUUACAAAUGCCAAUUUUGCAAGGAUGAACAUGCAAAAGCAGUACCA